CAGGACGAACGCUGGCGGCGUGCCUAAUACAUGCAAGUCGAACGCUUUUUCUUUCACCGGAGCUUGCUCCACCGAAAGAAAAAGAGUGGCGAACGGGUGAGUAACACGUGGGUAACCUGCCCAUCAGAAGGGGAUAACACUUGGAAACAGGUGCUAAUACCGUAUAACACUAUUUUCCGCAUGGAAGAAAGUUGAAAGGCGCUUUUGCGUCACUGAUGGAUGGACCCGCGGUGCAUUAGCUAGUUGGUGAGGUAACGGCUCACCAAGGCCACGAUGCAUAGCCGACCUGAGAGGGUGAUCGGCCACACUGGGACUGAGACACGGCCCAGACUCCUACGGGAGGCAGCAGUAGGGAAUCUUCGGCAAUGGACGAAAGUCUGACCGAGCAACGCCGCGUGAGUGAAGAAGGUUUUCGGAUCGUAAAACUCUGUUGUUAGAGAAGAACAAGGAUGAGAGUAGAACGUUCAUCCCUUGACGGUAUCUAACCAGAAAGCCACGGCUAACUACGUGCCAGC
This 515-nucleotide ribosomal RNA is filed under the name Enterococcus gallinarum. RNAcentral describes it as "bacterial SSU rRNA". It matches the Rfam family "Bacterial small subunit ribosomal RNA", at positions 25 to 512 of the family's 1533-position model. The record is from RNAcentral. Lineage: Bacteria; Bacillati; Bacillota; Bacilli; Lactobacillales; Enterococcaceae.